CCUACGGGUGGCAGCAGUGGGGAAUAUUGCGCAAUGGGCGAAAGUCUGACGCAGCGACGUAGCGUGAGGGAUGAAGGUCUUCGGAGCGUAAACCUCUGUCAGUAGGGAAGUACGGUCACUGUGCUAAUCAGCAGUGAAUAGACGGUACCAGCAAAGGAAGCAUCGGCUAACUCCGUGCCAGCAGCCGCGGUAAUACGGAGGGUCCGAGUGUUAAUCGGAAUUACUGGGCGUAAAGCGCUCGUAGGCGGUAUGUCAAGUCAAGUGUGAAAGCCCCGGGCUCAACGUGGGAAGUGCCUUUGAAACUGGCAGACUGGAGUGUGUGAGAGGAGGGUGGAAUUCCAGGUGUAGGGGUGAAAUCCGUAGAUAUCUGGAGGAACUUCAGUGGCGAAGGCGACUAUCUGGCACAUAACUGACGCUGAGGAGCGAAAGCGUGGGUAGCAAACAGGAUUAGAUACCCGUGUAGUC
RNAcentral lists this ribosomal RNA (465 nucleotides) under uncultured bacterium. RNAcentral describes it as "partial 16S ribosomal RNA". It matches the Rfam family "Bacterial small subunit ribosomal RNA", at positions 338 to 795 of the family's 1533-position model. The record is from RNAcentral.